GGAAGCGUGGCUGAGUGGUUGAAGGCACCGGUUUCGAAAACCGGCGGGCUCGCAAGAGCCUCGGAGGUUCGAAUCCUCCCGCUUCCG
Molecule: transfer RNA, 87 nt
Filed under: bacterium
Lineage: Bacteria
Description: tRNA-Ser
Rfam family: tRNA
About the family: Transfer RNA (tRNA) molecules are approximately 80 nucleotides in length. Their secondary structure includes four short double-helical elements and three loops (D, anti-codon, and T loops).
Source: RNAcentral